Molecule: long non-coding RNA, 661 nt
Filed under: Nicotiana benthamiana
Lineage: Eukaryota; Viridiplantae; Streptophyta; Magnoliopsida; Solanales; Solanaceae
Description: long non-coding RNA (NBEN_LNC032820)
Source: RNAcentral
CGGGGGAACAUAUGAGCAAUCUGGUACUCAAAGGGGGGGUUAAUUUUGGGUUUGUCAUUAUCAAAAAGGGAAAAUUUGCUUUAUGUUAUGUUAUUUCAUGUUUUGAUGAUGACAAACAUUCUCAAGGAACCGGGUACAGACCAGAUGUGAUCAACAUAUAAGGAAUCUGAUUCUCAUUCGGAAUAUUAUUUCUGGGUUGCUCAUCAUAAAAAAGGAGAAGUUGAUAAGUUAUGGUAUUUUGUGUUUUGAUGAUUUGUCAAAUAGUCUCAGGGAACCAGUUAUGGUCAGUUCCUUAGGAAGGAACUUGGUUCUCAAGGAGAAUAUAACUGAUUUGCAUGGGGAACAAUGUGGAGAUCUGGUUCUCAAUGGGAAUAUCAAUUCUAAGUUGGACAUCGUCAAAAGGGAAAAAAUUGAUAAGAUAUGCGUUUUUAUUUUGAUGAUUUGACAAACUUUAUGAGAGAACCAGAUAAGGAACCUGAUACAAUUAGUUCUCUUGCGUUCAGAUUAACUAGUCAGAUGUCUGGUUCAAUUCUCAAUAAAUCAGAUAAAGGAAAAGCAGAGGGAACAGAUAUGGGUCAUUUCUCCUGGUCGUCGUACAGUCAACUUUACAGUUGUAUAAGUUGCUACAUUGUACCGUCUGGCAUGCUGCUGCAUUAUACCG